UUUAGUGGCGGACGGGUUAGUAACGCGUGGGAACGUGCCUUUCACUACGGAAUAGUCCCGGGAAACUGGGUUUAAUACCGUAUACGCCCUUCGGGGGAAAGAAUUUCGGUGAAAGAUCGGCCCGCGUUAGAUUAGAUAGUUGGUGGGGUAAUGGCCUACCAAGUCUACGAUCUAUAGCUGGUUUUAGAGGAUGAUCAGCAACACUGGGACUGAGACACGGCCCAGACUCCUACGGGAGGCAGCAGUGGGGAAUCUUGGACAAUGGGCGCAAGCCUGAUCCAGCCAUGCCGCGUGAGUGAUGAAGGCCUUAGGGUCGUAAAGCUCUUUCAACGGUGAAGAUAAUGACGGUAGCCGUAGAAGAAACCCCGGCUAACUCCGUGCCAGCAGCCGCGGUAAUACGGAGGGGGUUAGCGUUGUUCGGAAUUACUGGGCGUAAAGCGCGCGUAGGCGGAUUGGAAAGUAUGGGGUGAAAUCCCAGGGCUCAACCCUGGAACUGCCUCAUAAACUCCCAGUCUUGAGUUCGAGAGAGGUGAGUGGAACUCCGAGUGUAGAGGUGAAAUUCGUAGAUAUUCGGAAGAACACCAGUGGCGAAGGCGGCUCACUGGCUCGAUACUGACGCUGAGGUGCGAAAGUGUGGGGAGCAAACAGGAUUAGAUACCCUGGUAGUCCACACCGUAAACGAUGAAUGCCAGUCGUCGGG
RNAcentral lists this ribosomal RNA (700 nucleotides) under uncultured Alphaproteobacteria bacterium. RNAcentral's name for it is "bacterial SSU rRNA". It matches the Rfam family "Bacterial small subunit ribosomal RNA", at positions 91 to 827 of the family's 1533-position model. Lineage: Bacteria; Pseudomonadati; Pseudomonadota; Alphaproteobacteria. The record is from RNAcentral.